RNAcentral lists this ribosomal RNA (465 nucleotides) under uncultured bacterium. RNAcentral describes it as "partial 16S ribosomal RNA". It matches the Rfam family "Bacterial small subunit ribosomal RNA", at positions 28 to 506 of the family's 1533-position model. The record is from RNAcentral.
GAUGAACGCUGGCGGCGUGCUUAGCACAUGCAAGUCGAACGAUGAAGCCCAGCUUGCUGGGUGGAUUAGUGGCGAACGGGUGAGUAACACGUGAGUAACCUGCCCUUAACUCUGGGAUAAGCCUGGGAAACUGGGUCUAAUACCGGAUAGGAGCGUCCACCGCAUGGUGGGUGUUGGAAAGAUUUAUCGGUUUUGGAUGGACUCGCGGCCUAUCAGCUUGUUGGUGAGGUAAUGGCUCACCAAGGCGACGACGGGUAGCCGGCCUGAGAGGGUGACCGGCCACACUGGGACUGAGACACGGCCCAGACUCCUACGGGAGGCAGCAGUGGGGAAUAUUGCACAAUGGGCGCAAGCCUGAUGCAGCGACGCCGCGUGAGGGAUGACGGCCUUCGGGUUGUAAACCUCUUUCAGUAGGGAAGAAGCGAAAGUGACGGGACCUGCAGAAGAAGCACCGGCUAACUACGU